This 894-nucleotide long non-coding RNA is filed under the name Malus domestica (apple). Its description in RNAcentral is "long non-coding RNA (MDOM_LNC002427)". The record is from RNAcentral. Lineage: Eukaryota; Viridiplantae; Streptophyta; Magnoliopsida; Rosales; Rosaceae.
AAAUAGCCUAACCUCCUAAAUUGUUCUCCUUUUUCUUCAAAAUCUCAUGUUCUUCUAUGUUUUGAAUCAUCAAUGCGUAAAUGUCAUGAUGGGUUCUAACAUGCUUGAUUUCAUCAUGAAUGUCCUUAAUUCAUGUGAUCGUGGAAUUUAGGUGUAAAACUACGUGUGUUGUAUGUGAAUGCGGAUCUAUGGUUUGAAAGGUUAAUCAAUACAAAUGCAUUACCUCACUGGUGUAACUCUAAGAAAGAAUGGUGCGAUGUGAGCUACAUCAUGAACUAUUCUUGACGAAUAGCCUAUGGCUUAGUGUUAAGAAGAUAAGUUUCUAAUGAACGCGUCUAUAUAUGUGUAGAUGGCGGCGUGUAUGCAAGAUGAGCCUCUGUUAGGCGUAGAGAAAAUAUGCGUAUGAUAGUUGUAGAGAAGAUGAACAGUUGUCCUGGUAUGGAGAGUAAGCCUAUCAAUCGGGCAUCUAGGAUAAGAUAUCCAAUCUUCUUACGAUUAUGAUUGCAUUAUCUAAUUUCAAAGAUAUCCUAAUUUGACUUGAAUUAGGGUUUUCUUACUUAGGAGACAAGUAACAUCUUCAAUGUGUAGUAUGUCCGACAAAGGACUACGCUCAUGGGUUACGAGUAUUCCGGUCCCUCUUGCCACCCGAGAUGCCACAGGUUAUAAGCCCAGAAAAUCAUAUUCCCACAUCCUGUAUGUUAUAGGGACCGUUUUUUAUUUUGUCCAUAUACAAAGAAACAUCCAUAUAUAGUUGGCUAAUUAUUUCACGAAAAAGGAAGAACAUUCAUAAAGGAAUACAAUUAUUAAAAUAGGGAAAUGAUAUGCUUGGCAUAUUUAUUUCACGAACAAUAACCGCAGCAAGAUAUCUUCACCCUUAUCCAAGGAAAUAUUUGA